Molecule: ribosomal RNA, 433 nt
Filed under: uncultured bacterium
Lineage: Bacteria
Description: partial 16S ribosomal RNA
Rfam family: Bacterial small subunit ribosomal RNA
Source: RNAcentral
AACGAACGCUGGCGGCAUGCCUAACACAUGCAAGUCGAACGAGACCUUCGGGUCUAGUUGCGCACGGGUGCGUAACGCGUGGGAACCUGCCUUUAGGUUCGGAAUAACUCAGAGAAAUUUGAGCUAAUACCGGAUGAUGUCUUCGGACCAAAGAUUUAUCGCCUUUAGAUGGGCCCGCGUUGGAUUAGCUAGUUGGUGGGGUAAAGGCCUACCAAGGCGACGAUGCAUAGCUGGUCUGAGAGGAUGAUCAGCCACACUGGGACUGAGACACGGCCCAGACUCCUACGGGAGGCAGCAGUGGGGAAUAUUGGACAAUGAGCGAAAGCCUGAUCCAGCAAUGCGGCGUGAGUGAUGCAGGCCUUAGGGUUGUAAAGCUCUUUUAGCCGAGAUGAUAAUGACAGUAUCGGGAGAAUAAGCUCCGGCUAACUCCGUG